This is a long non-coding RNA of Oncorhynchus tshawytscha (Chinook salmon), 1297 nucleotides long. Lineage: Eukaryota; Metazoa; Chordata; Actinopteri; Salmoniformes; Salmonidae. The record is from Ensembl.
GCCUAUGACAGUGGGUCUCCUUGGGGAGUCAUUCAGAAAGUGAGACAUAGCUGAGUAGACAUCACACAGAGACCUGUCUGUGAAAAGGUCAUUGGUUGCUUGGAUCUAUGGCCUGCUGUGGCAGUCCACCCGUGUCUUAAACAACACCCAGUUCACCCGUGUCUUAAACAACACUCAGUCCACCCGUGUCUUAAACAACAUUCAGUCCACCCGUGUCUUAAACAACACUCAGUCCACCCGUGUCUUAAACAACACUCAGUCCACCCGUGUCUUAAACAACAUUCAGUCCACCCGUGUCUUAAACAACACUCAGUCCACCCGUGUCUUAAACAACACUCAGUCCACCCAUGUCUUAAACAACACCCAGUCCACCCGUGUCUUAAACAACACCCAGUCCACCCGUGUCUUAAACAACACUCAGUCCACCCAUGUCUUAAUUAAACAACAUUCAGGCCACCCAUGUCUUAAUUAAACAACAUUCAGUCCACCCAUGUCUUAAUUAAACAACAUUCAGUCCACCCAUGUCUUAAACAACACAUUCAGUCUACCCAUGUCUUAAACAACAUUCAGUCCACCCAUGUCUUAAACAACACCCAGUCCACCCAUGUCUUAAACAACAUUCAGUCCACCCGUGUCUUAAACAACACUCAGUCCACCCAUGUCUUAAACAACAUUCAGUCCACCCGUGUCUUAAUUAAACAACAUUCAGUCCACCCAUGUCUUAAUUAAACAACAUUCAGUCCACCCAUGUCUUAAACAACAUUCAGUCCACCCGUGUUUUAAACAACUCAGUCCACCCAUGUCUUAAACAACACUCAGUCCACCCGUGUCUUAAACAACAUUCAGUCCACCCGUGUCUUAAACAACACUCAGUCCACCCGUGUCUUAAACAACACUCAGUCCACCCAUGUCUUAAACAACACCCAGUCCACCCGUGUCUUAAACAACACCCAGUCCACCCGUGUCUUAAACAACACCCAGUCCACCCGUGUCUUAAACAACACUCAGUCCACCCAUGUCUUAAUUAAACAACAUUCAGGCCACCCAUGUCUUAAUUAAACAACAUUCAGUCCACCCAUGUCUUAAUUAAACAACAUUCAGUCCACCCAUGUCUUAAACAACACAUUCAGUCUACCCAUGUCUUAAACAACAUUCAGUCCACCCAUGUCUUAAACAACACCCAGUCCACCCAUGUCUUAAACAACAUUCAGUCCACCCGUGUCUUAAACAACACUCAGUCCACCCGUGUCUUAAACAACACUCAGUCCACCCAUGUCUUAAACAACAUUCAGUCCAC